AUUGAACGCUGGCGGCAGGCCUAACACAUGCAAGUCGAAUGGUAACAGGAAACAGCUUGCUGUUUCGCUGACGAGUGGCGGACGGGGGAGUAAUGUCUGGGAAACUGCCUGAUGGAGGGGGAUAACUACUGGAAACGGUAGCUAAUACAGCAUAACGUCGCAAGACCAAAGAGGGGGACCUUCUGGCCUCUUGCCAUCAGAUGUGCCCAGAUGGGAUUAGCUAGUAGGUGGGGUAACGGCUCACCUAGGCGACGAUCCCUAGCUGGUCUGAGAGGAUGACCAGCCACACUGGAACUGAGACACGGUCCAGACUCCUACGGGAGGCAGCAGUGGGGAAUAUUGCACAAUGGGCGCAAGCCUGAUGCAGCCAUGCCGCGUGUAUGAAGAAGGCCUUCGGGUUGUAAAGUACUUUCAGCGGGGAGGAAGGGAGUAAAGUUAAUACCGUGGCUCAUUGACGUUACCCGCAGAAGAAGCACCGGCUAACUCCGUG
Molecule: ribosomal RNA, 490 nt
Filed under: uncultured bacterium
Lineage: Bacteria
Description: partial 16S ribosomal RNA
Rfam family: Bacterial small subunit ribosomal RNA
Source: RNAcentral